UGGGGAAUUUUGGACAAUGGGCGAAAGCCUGAUCCAGCAAUGCCGCGUGUGUGAAGAAGGCCUUUGGGUUGUAAAGCACUUUUGUCCGGAAAGAAAUGGCUCUGGUUAAUACCUGGGGUCGAUGACGGUACCGGAAGAAUAAGGACCGGCUAACUACGUGCCAGCAGCCGCGGUAAUACGUAGGGUCCAAGCGUUAAUCGGAAUUACUGGGCGUAAAGCGUGCGCAGGCGGUUGUGCAAGACCGAUGUGAAAUCCCCGAGCUUAACUUGGGAAUUGCAUUGGUGACUGCACGGCUAGAGUGUGUCAGAGGGGGGUAGAAUUCCACGUGUAGCAGUGAAAUGCGUAGAGAUGUGGAGGAAUACCGAUGGCGAAGGCAGCCCCCUGGGAUAACACUGACGCUCAUGCACGAAAGCGUGGGGAGCAAACAGG
This 429-nucleotide ribosomal RNA is filed under the name Acidobacteriota bacterium. Its description in RNAcentral is "Acidobacteria bacterium partial 16S ribosomal RNA". It matches the Rfam family "Bacterial small subunit ribosomal RNA", at positions 355 to 776 of the family's 1533-position model. Lineage: Bacteria; Pseudomonadati; Acidobacteriota. The record is from RNAcentral.